RNAcentral lists this ribosomal RNA (253 nucleotides) under uncultured bacterium. RNAcentral describes it as "partial 16S ribosomal RNA". It matches the Rfam family "Bacterial small subunit ribosomal RNA", at positions 524 to 776 of the family's 1533-position model. The record is from RNAcentral.
UACGGAGGGGGCUAGCGUUGUUCGGAAUUACUGGGCGUAAAGCGCACGUAGGCGGCUUUGUAAGUUAGAGGUGAAAGCCCGGGGCUCAACUCCGGAAUUGCCUUUAAGACUGCAUCGCUCGAAUUGUGGAGAGGUGAGUGGAACUGCGAGUGUAGAGGUGAAAUUCGUAGAUAUUCGCAAGAACACCAGUGGCGAAGGCGGCUCACUGGCCCGAUACUGACGCUGAGGCACGAAAGCGUGGGGAGCAAACAGG